UGGUGAUGAUGAUAAUGUUGAUGAAGAUGAUGAUGAAGAUGAUGAUGUUUAUGAUGAUGAUGAUGAUGAUGGUGAUGGUGAUGAUGGUGGUGGUGAUGAUGAUGAUGAUGGUGAUGAUGUUGAUGAUGAUGGUGAUGGUGAUAAUGGUGAUGGUAAUGAAGAUGAUGAUGAUGAUGAUGAUGAUGGUGAUGAUGGUGGUGGUGAUGAUGAUGAUGAUGGUGAUGGUGAUAAUGGUGAUGAUGAUGAUGAUGAUGGUGAUGAUGGUGGUGGUGAUGAUGAUGAUGAUGAUGGUGAUGGUGAUAAUGGUGAUGGUAAUGAAGAUGAUGAUGGUGGUGAUGAUGAUAAUGUUGAUGAAGACAAUGAUGAAGAUGAUGAUGUU
Long non-coding RNA from Erpetoichthys calabaricus (reedfish), 379 nucleotides. RefSeq lists it as uncharacterized. The transcript has 3 exons. NCBI's taxonomy places the organism in Eukaryota, Metazoa, Chordata, Cladistia, Polypteriformes, Polypteridae. The record is from RefSeq and is a predicted model, not a curated record.